CGCCCAUCCAGAGCGAUCGAGAGACCCGGCUCGACGACAUCGCAGCAACCCCCCGCCUGGGGUGUGGGUGCUACCGCCGGGACCGAUGGAGG
Molecule: non-coding RNA, 92 nt
Filed under: Nocardia nova
Lineage: Bacteria; Bacillati; Actinomycetota; Actinomycetes; Mycobacteriales; Nocardiaceae
Also listed under: 1 other name
Description: SAM-I sequence
Rfam family: SAM riboswitch aptamer (S box leader)
About the family: The SAM riboswitch is found upstream of a number of genes which code for proteins involved in methionine or cysteine biosynthesis in Gram-positive bacteria. The SAM riboswitch acts at the level of transcription termination control.
Source: RNAcentral